RNAcentral lists this non-coding RNA (74 nucleotides) under Geosporobacter subterraneus DSM 17957. The record is from RNAcentral. Lineage: Bacteria; Bacillati; Bacillota; Clostridia; Peptostreptococcales; Thermotaleaceae.
CAACCCAUAUAGCGAUAUAUGGCUGAGCUAUGAGAAGUCAGCAGAGACCAUAGUACCACGAGAGUGGGAAGGGU